Long non-coding RNA from Cyprinus carpio carpio, 3060 nucleotides. The record is from Ensembl. Lineage: Eukaryota; Metazoa; Chordata; Actinopteri; Cypriniformes; Cyprinidae.
GGUUGUCUGAUGUCAGAGUGGAGUGAGCCGAGCUCUGAUUGGUGGGCUCCUCUGAGGAUGUGCCUGGCCAGAGAAUGGCAUCAGCUGUGAGGCACUGCCAACAAGCAGAGCAGCCUGCCAGUCUCCAGAUGUAUGCGUAGGAGAAGGGAAGUGGUUCUGAAGCCUAAACAGAGGGUAUUGUUUCCUAUUUCAUUUACCCAAAUGAAGAAGAAUCGAUUUCUAUGAUUCUCUGUUCCCACCUGUUCCAUACAGUGAGAGGGAGAGAGAGAGAGAGAGAGAGAGAGAGAGAGAGAGAUGAGUAAGAUGUUGGGAGCUCUGCCAAGAGUAGAAUUAACAGGAAAGAGAAAGUGAAAAGCAGUGAAAAUAAGCAUUCUUCCUCUAGUAAACAUGAGGAUGCUGUGCAUUAUGGACAAAGAGGAGAAACAUGAGGGAGGGAAUGAAAAUAGGAGAGAAAAGAGACACGAGUGGACUAAAUUUGACAGUUGGCCACAUGCGGCAGGCUCUUCUCUCUACCAGCCUUCGUCUCUUUCUGUUUCCCAAGAGCUCCGUCAGUAUGAAGAGGCCCGAGGACGCCAUCUCAUCUUCUCUCAGCCGGUGUCAAGCAGCAAUCCUGUGGGGCCCGUCCCUGCUUAAUUCAGCUUAGAGGCCCUCUCUCGUCCCCGACAUUCCUGAUCGCCUCAUUUUUCCCGGUAUGCCUCUCAGGGCUGAGGUAAUUAUUUCCAGAAUAAUAAUAACAGACAGAUUAGUAUGUUUAGCAGGCAGAUACAGUAUAUUGCUCUGUUCCCUUGCCUUACUUACAUUUGCCUCUGAACUGAGUGAUAUUAGAAUGGAUUAAUUCUGCUAUAAAAAAAUGAAAGCACUUAAUGACCCCUGUCGCUUUUCGGAAAGGUGGGGAACCCGCCUGAGGAGGAUUUCGUGAGGAUUCCACGUUGGACACCAGGAUCAGCAGGUGUUAAAGUCUUCAUUCGUUUCUGUCUUGGUUAUGGCUGACUUGGCUGUAUGAAAUUACUCAAAUGGUGGCUGGCCAUUAAAAUUCAAAAGGAAUCGGGUAUACGGUAAAUGGGAAGGGUGGAAAGAAAAAUGAUGAAAACUUGGAAGAAAAUGUAUUAUUAUUUAUUAAAAGUUCUGUUACAUGAGGUCUUUUGGAGCAUGCAUUGCCUCCUAUUAUGAAAUGUGAAUUAUUUUAAAAUGCAGCUUUUUUAACCUGGAAAACCUGACACACAAAAUAGUUUUGAACUGCUUAUUGAAACUUUAGAUAUGCUUUUAAUAAUUUAAAAAGUUUUGUUUGGUAUAAUAUUUAAUGCAUAAGGCUUUUAUGGCCCAUAUAGUAUUAUCUAUAUAGUGAGAAUAUGGAUCUCACACAGUAAUUCCCACAGGAUUAAAAUAUACUUGGGGUGAUAGCUGGGUGGAAAAUCCUCCUCUUACCCACGGCACAAAAAAAAAAUGGUCUGCUAGGUGUGACAAAUAACAAAUAAUGUGUGAUAAAAUAAUGUGUGAUUUCAAUAAAUAAAAUGUAUUUAACAGUAUUGUAUUAUUAAAUUAAUUUUAAUAAUGUAGGCUACUAAAUUUAAUUACAUACUGAUAUUAUGCACUGUAAAUUAUGCUAAAUGACAGCAUGUAAAUGGUAGAGUUCUCAUUGCUUUGUCAUACAGUGUCUCUCUCAGUGAAUGGAACACAGAAUUUACUAUACUAGUAAAAUCUAUAUAUUGAAUAAUAUGUUAAAUAAUCUUCUUUGACUUUUCUUCCUGUGGGGAAGCAUCCCAGCCAGAAACUACAAUUUAUGUUUAAGUUUAAAAUGAAUUAAAUAGAAAUUAAAUUAAAUUAAAUAGAAUUUAUUGUGUAACCAAAAUACAAAUUAUGCCCAGAAAAAAAAAAAAACAAACAAACAAAAAAACAAAAAAAACCCUAGUGUUACUUUUAAUUAUAAACAAGCCUGAAAUGCAUCAUAACUCUUAUUUUGCAAUAUCUAUACUAUUGCAGGUUGAUCCUUCAGAUGAGAGAUAAACUAUACAUUUUUUCAAGUUUAAAACAGAAUAUAUUAAGGUCAUAAAGUAGACAUUAUUGUCACAAUUCAUCAACUCGAGUUCAUAAGCAAUCGCUUGGGGAAAAUGUGCUUUUUUCAUUGAUUGAGAAUCAUUUUGAAGCACUAUUGCACAAGCCAGUAGAACAUGCAACAGUGCCGCCCCAACCUUUUUUUUUAUUAUUUAAAAUAAACCAUAGCCUUUUGAAAUUUAGUAAUCAAUAGGCUGUAUCGCAAAUUAUGUUUUCCAUCCCCAAAAUAUAAGAUGUCUUAAAAUGGUCAUUAAGAUGUUUGUUUUACCAUUCCAUGUAAUGAAAACUUUUUAUAACAUUAAAUUUAAGUGAACUCACCCAUAGGGAUUUUGCUUUAUUUGCACAUGAGCUCCUAAAUACAUGUUACAGUUUGCACACGCGACUGAAGCUCCCGCACUGUUGAGCCCUGUCUUUGUCUGUGAAAUAUCCACCGCGUCACUGCAGCACACGAGGGAAAGUCAGCUGGAGUAAACUGUUCUCGUGCACACAGAAUGAGCAGAUACAAGAGGAGAUUUUCCAACAGAUAAUUAAUAGCGGAUGGUUAUAUAAUAAAUAAAUAAAUCUAUUUAUCUAUCUCUUUAAAUAGCAUCUUAUAUUUAAAUAUAAGACAUGUUAUUUUGAAUUUUUAUUUAUUAAAUAAAAAUAAAUAAAUAAAAAAUCCCAAUAAUAUGUCUUAUAUAUAAAUAUAAGAUGCUAUUUAAAAGGAUUAGUUAUAUGAUCAGAGCUCUGUAGUUUUAAUUGUGGGGCAAAGCCAAUAAUGCAAUACAAUACAGUGAUGACUGAGACAUGAAUAAGCAUUCCUCAAAAACCUGCUAAAUCAUAUUCAAUACUUAAAAAAAUAAAAUGAUAAAAUCAAGUUAACCUACAGUGAGUUGUUUAAUUCCAGUAUGUUCAUCUUACAUAUUCCUAAAUAUGAAAGUUGUUCUUAUAUUUACUUAAUAAAAAUCAUUAAAGAUUUUACAGCAGAAUGACAGCUGUAUUUUUACAGCAAUAAAAAAUAUUACAGCA